CUUUAUCAUUCUUUUUAUCACCUGGUCUGUGAACACAUCGGGUGGUACCAUCUUAUUGAAGAAGUCAGAGCACACAGCUCCUGCCUGCAGAUAAUAGUGAAGGGCUGCUGAAUACUGGUUUGUCGCAAAAUAAAUAUCUGCCUGGAUAAUUAACCAGAAGUGGUUGUUGGAGUUGAUUGUCAGUGCAUAGUUGACAAGCUCUUUCACUGUAACAGCCACGGCUUCAAAAUCCACUGACUGAAGGUUGGGAAUAGACGAGGGCCAGAUGGAGAUGUACUCUGCUGUAAUGUCAUUCACAAUAUCCUCCCGAACAUUAUGAAGCUUGACAAACAGGGACAGUAUUGUAGUUAACACCAAUGGCUCCCGAAGCUUUUUGAUGAAGGACAGCAGUUCACUCCUGUACAUAAUGCCUAGCGUAGAUUCUCUGUGCUUUAUCAAACUCACUCUGCCAUCAUUCCCCCGUUUGUGCUGGUUGGAUACACUGCAGAUCUGUACGACGACUUCCCAGAGAUCUUUAGCUGUCCUUCUGCUUUCCUUGGGACCCGGGAGUUCUUUGCACGUAGCAGCCAGCAACUGCCCCAGCUUUACAUAAGGAUUAGUCUGAACCAGAGGUAAUGGAACUUGCAUGGUCAAGUAUUCAUUUUCACGCCAGUUUAACAGGAAGGCAACACACUCCUCAGCUAUAACUUGUCGAAGAGGAAUAUCUGGUACUCUCAUUUCCAAGUACCCUCGGACUCUGCUUAUAAGAUCAGAAGGAGGACGCUCCCCGGCAGCACCGGCUCCAGCCUCGUGUGUGUAAAUGUCCAAAAGCAGCAUUUCAUUCAGCAUGACUUGACGGAGCUUUGGAGAAAAUUCUGUCACAAGCUCUAAGCAAGCAGCAAAAAGCUGCUUAGCGUGGACAAAAUCCUUAAUUGCACAGCAGUGUAAUCCCUUCGCCAUAAGGAUGUAGACCAAAUCCCUAGUCAGAUUAUCUUUGAUUCCUAGAAUAACAUUGCCAUAAACAUUUGGUACUUCCCACUGUGAGAGAAACAUGCAAGACAUUUGCACAGAAACAGGUUUUAGAAAUCACACAUUUCCUUAAAUACUAAAAACAAAGCUCAAAAUGUUGAGACCAAUGGAUUUCUAAGUGUCAAAUCUUUCAGAAAUGUUUGCAUUUCAUCAGCAGUAAGGUAUGGCUCAGGAGUAUAGAAGUACCCUAAAAAGGGCUACCUAUUGUACUUUGUAUUGUACUUUAUAUGAUGAGCAUGCAGUCAUUUGGGAGACAAAGACAAAAAAGCCAAAAACAUAACCAAAAGAAAUCUACUCCUCUCUCUUCCUAAC
Molecule: long non-coding RNA, 1320 nt
Filed under: Gallus gallus (chicken)
Lineage: Eukaryota; Metazoa; Chordata; Aves; Galliformes; Phasianidae
Source: RNAcentral